This 483-nucleotide ribosomal RNA is filed under the name uncultured bacterium. RNAcentral's name for it is "partial 16S ribosomal RNA". It matches the Rfam family "Bacterial small subunit ribosomal RNA", at positions 28 to 523 of the family's 1533-position model. The record is from RNAcentral.
GACGAACGCUGGCGGCGUGCUUAACACAUGCAAGUCGCACGAUGAAGCCGGAGCUUGCUCCGGUGGAUUAGUGGCGAACGGGUGAGUAACACGUGAGCAAUCUGCCCUUGACUCUGGGAUAACUGCGGGAAACUGUAGCUAAUACCGGAUACGACACCUUGGGGCAUCCCAGGGUGUGGAAAGAAAUUCGGUCAAGGAUGAGCUCGCGGCCUAUCAGCUAGUUGGUGAGGUAAUGGCUCACCAAGGCGACGACGGGUAGCCGGCCUGAGAGGGUGACCGGCCACACUGGAACUGAGACACGGUCCAGACUCCUACGGGAGGCAGCAGUGGGGAAUAUUGCACAAUGGGCGAAAGCCUGAUGCAGCAACGCCGCGUGAGGGAUGAAGGCCUUCGGGUUGUAAACCUCUUUUAGCAGGGAAGAAGCGAAAGUGACGGUACCUGCAGAAAAAGCACCGGCUAACUACGUGCCAGCCGCCGCAGUAA